Molecule: ribosomal RNA, 479 nt
Filed under: uncultured organism
Description: partial 16S ribosomal RNA
Rfam family: Bacterial small subunit ribosomal RNA
Source: RNAcentral
GUACACUCCUACGGGAGGCAGCAGUGGGGAAUUUUGGACAAUGGGCGAAAGCCUGAUCCAGCCAUGCCGCGUGCAGGAUGAAGGCCUUCGGGUUGUAAACUGCUUUUGUACGGAACGAAACGGCCUUUUCUAAUAAAGAGGGCUAAUGACGGUACCGUAAGAAUAAGCACCGGCUAACUACGUGCCAGCAGCCGCGGUAAUACGUAGGGUGCAAGCGUUAAUCGGAAUUACUGGGCGUAAAGCGUGCGCAGGCGGUUAUGUAAGACAGUUGUGAAAUCCCCGGGCUCAACCUGGGAACUGCAUCUGUGACUGCAUAGCUAGAGUACGGUAGAGGGGGAUGGAAUUCCGCGUGUAGCAGUGAAAUGCGUAGAUAUGCGGAGGAACACCGAUGGCGAAGGCAAUCCCCUGGACCUGUACUGACGCUCAUGCACGAAAGCGUGGGGAGCAAACAGGAUUAGAAACCCUAGUAGUCCUAUGAU